GGCGGUUUGGCCAAGUGGUUAAGGCGAUUGACUCGAACAAAUAAAAUUUCUUAUAAGAAAAAUCUUUAUAAGAAAAUGUUCUUAAGGAAUCAAUUCUCUUCGGAGGCACACUCGAGUCGUGUAGCCGCCG
RNAcentral lists this transfer RNA (130 nucleotides) under Penicillium salamii. RNAcentral's name for it is "tRNA-Ser". The record is from RNAcentral. Lineage: Eukaryota; Fungi; Ascomycota; Eurotiomycetes; Eurotiales; Aspergillaceae.